GGGGGGGGGGGGGGGGGGGGGGGGGGGGGGGAGGGCGGGGGGGGGGGGGGGGCGGGGGGGGGGUGCGCGAGGGGCGCGAGGGGGAGGAACACGGGGGUAAGCGGGCCUGGGCUGGGGGAUAGCUUCAGGAACGUGGGUCUACGCCGGGAUGGGAGCUCGGGCUUCAUUGGGGGGGGUGGAAAGUUUGGGCGGUGGGGGCUGGACUCGCUGCUUAUGAGCUUGUUGGUGGGGUAGGGGCUUACCAAGGCUUUGACGGGUAGCCGGCCUGAGAGGGUGACCGGCCACAUUGGGACUGAGGUACGGCCCAGACUCCUACGGGAGGCAGCAGUGGGGAAUAUUGCACAAUGGGCGGAAGCCUGAUGCAGCAACGCCGCGUGCGGGAUGACGGCCUUCGGGUUGUAAACCGCUUUCGCCUGUGACGAAGCGUGAGUGACGGUAAUGGGUAAAGAAGCACCGGCUAACUACGUG
RNAcentral lists this ribosomal RNA (468 nucleotides) under uncultured bacterium. RNAcentral describes it as "partial 16S ribosomal RNA". The stretch from base 52 to 468 matches the Rfam family "Bacterial small subunit ribosomal RNA", at positions 39 to 507 of the family's 1533-position model. The record is from RNAcentral.